This is a long non-coding RNA of Eriocheir sinensis (Chinese mitten crab), 1159 nucleotides long. RefSeq lists it as uncharacterized. The transcript has 3 exons. The record is from RefSeq and is a predicted model, not a curated record. Lineage: Eukaryota; Metazoa; Arthropoda; Malacostraca; Decapoda; Varunidae.
CAAAGGAAAGAAAAACUCGCUGUAUACAGAAAUAUUUAUAUCAUCAAAAUUAUAUUCUAAAUCAUACAAAACUUAACGUCUAUUAUAUAAAUCUAUUUCUUACACGUGUAAACAUAUAUAAAAAGAGAGGAAAUUACUCGUACGUUAACUUAAAGCAAGAAGUGUGGUGGUACUGGUUGGCUGCAUGCAAAAAUCAUCAAUCAUCUUCAUCAUUCAUUAUAUUGUCACUAUCAGGCAGAGGUGGUUGUAGAUAUCAAAGGAACAAUCAUCAAUCAUCUUCAUCAUUCAUUCAUUAUAUUGUCACUAUCAGGCAGAGGUGGUUGUAGAUAUCAAAGGAACAAUCAUCAAUCAUCUUCAUCAUUCAUUCAUUAUAUUGUCACUAUCAGGCAGAGGUGGUUUUAUAUAUCAAAGGAACAAUCAUCAAUCAUCUUCAUCAUUCAUUCAUUAUAUUGUCACUAUCAGGCAGAGGUGGUUUUAUAUAUCAAAGGAACAAUCAUCAAUCAUCUUCAUCAUUCAUUCAUUAUAUUGUCACUAUCAGGCAGAGGUGGUUUUAUAUAUCAAAGGAACAAUCAUCAAUCAUCUUCAUCAUUCAUUAUAUUGUCACUAUCAGGCAGAGGUGGUUGUAGAUAUCAAAGGAACAAUCAUCAAUCAUCUUCAUCAUUCAUUCAUUAUAUUGUCACUAUCCGGCAGAGGUGGUUUUAUAUAUCAAAGGAACAAUCAUCAAUCAUCUUCAUCAUUCAUUCAUUAUAUUGUCACUAUCAGGCAGAGGUGGUUGUAGAUAUCAAAGGAACAAUCAUCAAUCAUCUUCAUCAUUCAUCAGUCAUUCAUUAUGUUGUUGCUAUCAGGCAGAUGUGGUUUUAUAUAUCAAAGGAACAAUCAUCAAUCAUCUUCAUCAUUCAUCAGUCAUUCAUUAUACCGUCACUAUCAGGCAGAGGUGGUUGUAGAUAUCAAAGGAACAAUCAUCAAUCAUCUUCAUCAUUCAUCAGUCAUUCAUUAUAUCGUUGCUAUCAGGCAGAGGUGGUUUUAUAUAUCAAAGAAAACAUCAACUUCAUCAAUGACAUAAAAAGAAAAAAUAAUUGAUGAGAAAAGAAUAUAUUAAAAAAAAACAGAAAAUGAAAAAAGUAAGUUCGAUGAAAAACAAAAAAACAAAAAAACAAAA